ACGUAGGGUCCAAGCGUUGUCCGGAUUUACUGGGCGUAAAGAGCGCGUAGGCGGUCUGUUAAGUGUGAAGUGAAAUCUCCAGGGCUCAACCCGGAAACCGCUUCGCAUACUGGCAGACUGGAGGGAUGCAGAGGUGAGUGGAAUUCCUGGUGUACCGGUGAAAUGGGUAGAUAUCAGGAGGAACACCCAUGGCGAAGGCAGCUCACUGGGCAUCUCCUGACGCUGAGGCGCGAAAGUGUGGGUAGCAAACAGGAUUAGAUACCCUGGUAGUCCACACCCUAAACGAUGGAUACUCGGCGUAAGGGGUAUCGACCCCCCUUGUGCCGCAGCUAACGCACGAAGUAUCCCGCCUGGGAGUACGGCCGCAAGGUUG
RNAcentral lists this ribosomal RNA (373 nucleotides) under uncultured bacterium. RNAcentral describes it as "bacterial SSU rRNA". It matches the Rfam family "Bacterial small subunit ribosomal RNA", at positions 525 to 896 of the family's 1533-position model. The record is from RNAcentral.